This 3761-nucleotide long non-coding RNA is filed under the name Homo sapiens (human). RNAcentral describes it as "non-protein coding C1RL-AS1:5". Lineage: Eukaryota; Metazoa; Chordata; Mammalia; Primates; Hominidae. The record is from RNAcentral.
AACUCUUAGGGUCACCUGGAGCACCUUGGGAGCCAGAGAUGCAGCCAAAGAGUGAACAAUGGUACCAAUCCCAAGACCCAUGUGUUAAGAAGAAACCAGCCAAGACUCAGAUCAGGAUUGGGGAGUCCACCCCUCGUUUCCCUUCAGAGCAUUAUUUCCUUGUUUGCUAAGAGGGGCAGGAACUGGAAAACUCAGGCUAGCCCAUCUGAGAAGACUUUCCUGGAGAUGAGCUGGAGGAGGGAGGAGUAAGGCCUUGGAAGGAAACUCCAGGACAGUACCUGGUUGUAGAGAGCAGCUCUGUGAGUAGAAGGAGAAGGAUCCUGCCCUGGAGAGGGCCUGGCUGGUCCUCACCUGGGGCCUAUCAUUUAGUAACAGGGCUUCUGGAAGUGGUAGCAGAUCUGGGCCUGGUGGGCAUUCUGCUUCUCCUGGGUGGCAGCAGAAGUCCCUAGGUGGCAGGCUGGGGACUGCCCAAAGGUUCUGACUCAGGAAGAGCACAGUGGAACAGAAAGCCCUUGUACCACCUUCGCUGCUGUAUUCGUCCAUUCUCACACUGCUGUACAGAACUACCUGAGACUGGGGAAUUCAUGAAGAGAAGAAGUUUAAUUGACUCACAGUUCUGCGGGCUUAACAGGAAGCAUGACUGGGAGGCCUCAGGAAGCUUAUAAUCAUGGCAGAAGGCGAAGGGGAAGCAAGGACCUUCUUCACAUGGCAGCAGGAGAAAGAGAAGAAGGGAGAAGUCUACACACUUUUAAACAACCAGAUCUCAUGAGAAUUCCAUCGGGAGACAGCACUAGGGGGAUGGCACUAAACCAUUAGAAACUGCCCCCAUGAUCCAAUCACCUCUCACCAGGCCCCUCCUCCAACACGUGGGGAUUACAAUUCCACAUGAGAUUUGGUUGGGGACAUAGAGCCAAAUCCUAUCAGCUGGUAUCCUCCUUUUUCCAGGCUUUAGAUAUGGCACAACCUGAUGGCUUCUGCAUAAAGCCUCCUCUCAUCUGCAUCUCUCCACCUCACUCACCCUCUUUUCAGCAAAGAACCCUCUGGCUCUAGUUUCACUGUGGUGGUCCUGGGAGAGGUAGAGAAGACCCAGAGGCUCCUUACCCUGGGAGGUCAAACUGACCAUCCAGGUUUGGCUCUUCCCUGCUGGUGGUGACUGGACACAUUUUUACUGCCCGAAGUCAUCUACUGCCCCCACCCCCCAACCCCAUUCUUCUGCCCACUUAGCGAAUAUUGAGGUUAUGGUCAGGAUGGGGUCAUUUGCAAUGAAAUUCAAGGUUGAGACUAUGUUGCAGUUAUCUGUCUGCUUGUAAAAAGUCACCCCCACAUUUUGUUUAAAACAGCAAGUAUGUACUAUUUCACACAGUUUCUGUGGGUCAGGAAUCCAGAAGCGGCUGAGAUGGGUAGUUUAGGAUCAGGGUCUCUCACAAGGCUUUGGUCCAGGUGCAGGCUGCAGUCCUCCAGAGGCGGGACUGGGGCUGGAGGUCUGCUUCCAGACGGUCACUCACAUGGAUGUGGGCAGGCGGCCUCAGUUCCCUGCCACAUGGCCCUCCUCAUAGGACGCUUGAGUGUCCUCGCGGCAUAGCAGCUGGCUUUCCCCAGAGUGACCCAAGGUGGAAAGAACAAGGCAGAGGUGACAGUGUCUUUUAUAAGCCAGCCUUGGAAGUGACGUAGCAUCAUUUCUGCCUUAUUCCAUUGGUCACACAGACAACCCGAUGUGGAAGGAGACAUCACAAGGACAGGAAUACUGGGAAGCAGGUAUUGUUGGUGGCUGUCUCGGACGCUGGUUCUCAUAGAAGUAGAUGUAUUAUUUUAGUACAAUAAGUGCAGACGAUCAGCUAGCAGGAUGUUAUUUUUGCUGGAGGUCUCCAUCAGCAGAUUGCCCAACAGAACAAGUUCAGAGCCCAGAGAUCCCAGUUCCAGAUCUCAGAUCUCCCACACCCUGUGGGCUCUGUGUGGACUUUCGUCCUGAAACAAAGUCCUUUAGUAAAGGACUCUUUAAAUUCACUCCAUCUGUGCUUUGCUUGCCAAUAGCAGGGUGCGUCUGUUACAUACUGGACUAUCCCUUCCUUCAAUAUGUUCAUGGCUGAGGCUGCAUUUGUGCCUCAGAUAAUCAAGGUGAGUAUAACUCUCUGUUCUGUUUCCCUUUUGUUUCCUCCAAGACUUUAAUAAACCCUCAUUCAAGAGGCCCACCUUGUCCCACCUGUGCUUCUCAGAAAAGAAGGAGUGGUGGGGAGACAGGCUGGGGUGGGGGCUUUGCCACCUGGCUGCCCCUUCACCUGUGGGUUCUUGCUCCAAUGAGGACCCAGCAGGAUAAGCUUUAGUUUCAUUAAGGGUGACAAUAGUUUCCUUACAGCUGGGUCAAGGAUAUGAGCGAGCCUCUUCCGAAAACAGCCGGGAAGGGAGAGGAAUCCAAGAGGAGGAGCAGGUGGGAAAGACAAGACAGAAGGUGGAUCGGGACCAGGCCUGGGAGGGAGCACAGGCACACAGAAGUGAAAGAAUUCGCCUGAGGUUACACGACUCCUCGAGCGGUGCCUUUAGCUCUGCAUUGUGCCAGGCUCACCCCCAGCUAGAUGGUGGGUCAAGAAGCCCUUGAGAAAGAUGGAGAUCCUUCUUGUUUUUGCUGGAAAGGUGAGUGUGGAAGGUCAGCUACGUUUUAUACCCCCGGUACCUAAGUGGCCUCUAGUAGGGGUGCAUAUUCAGCAUGGAGCACAGGUUCCCACAGAGCAAUGCCGUCCUGUUGGCUGAGGUCUGGGGAGAGGGGGCAGGCCUGGAGAGUGCCGAUUCUGGCCCCUGGGCAGGCAGGGUUCUCUGGGUACUCCUUGCACCCUGGCCUCAGAGGCCUUGGCUACCACUGUUGUUUCUUUCUUUCUGUCCUCCAUGCAAACUCAGGUCAGUUAUAUCACAGUCCUUCACAGGGCGCCUGGAUUUGCCCACCAGAUCUCCUCACCUCUUGCCCUUCACCUCCUGCUGUACCUACAAGGUCUCCCCGAUUCUCAUCUGCCCAUAAUCAUGGACACAGCCCCAGGAUGUGCAGGGUGAGUCCCCAGGGACCCUGAAAGCAUGGGUACUCUUAUGACUGAGGGCGUUACACCAGGGAGAGGGAGCCGGGGAGACUUCCCAGAGAGCUGGUUGGGGGUUAUGAAAGUGGCCUCACGGCUGAUGCGGUGGCUAACACCUGUAGUCGAGCUCCCACCCUCUUGGAAAUGCCUCUGAAGCUGCAUAGUCCUCCCCUGAUGCUUGUGCUCCCUUAGGGGAUCUCCAGGCCUUUGGGUGUGGUCUGGCCCCUGGAGAAGUGUGGUCGAGUGGAGGAUGGGGUCCUGCAGUGGCCAUGUUCUGGACGCCCACAUCACGGGGAGUUUUGAGGGAUUGAGCCCACUUUAGCUUGGGUCUUAAAACCACCAUGGUAAGAAGUGUCAACCUUUGGGGGAAAAAUAAAAAUAUAUAGAAAUAUUUAGAAAAACCCACCAUGGGGGCCUACAAGUUCCUGAGUCAAGGCCUCUGCCGAGACUCCACUGACCAGCAUGGUCACUGAAGGGCAUGGAGGACCGUCCUGUGGGAAGAGGCUUGGACAUGCACUGUGAACUCAAGAGCAAGGACACUGUGUUGAUCUGGAGAUGUGGGCAAUGGGCGAGUACACACGGAGCAUCCUCCUGUGCCUUGGAAUGGGACAAGGUGGAUUCCAGCAGCCCUCAGAGCUUCUGCUGGGUGGCUUUGCAAAGAAGGGGCUUUCCACUCUACUGUGGACAUCUGCAGAGAUUGGG